Molecule: ribosomal RNA, 641 nt
Filed under: uncultured cyanobacterium
Lineage: Bacteria; Bacillati; Cyanobacteriota
Description: bacterial SSU rRNA
Rfam family: Bacterial small subunit ribosomal RNA
Source: RNAcentral
ACGGACUCUUCGGAGUUAGUGGCGGACGGGUGAGUAACGCGUGAGAAUCUGGCUUCAGGUUCGGGACAACAGUUGGAAACGGCUGCUAAUACCGGAUGUGCCUAAGGGUGAAAGAUUUAUCACCUGAAGAUGAGCUCGCGUCUGAUUAGCUAGUAGGUGUGGUAAGAGCGCACCUAGGCGACGAUCAGUAGCUGGUCUGAGAGGAUGAUCAGCCACACUGGGACUGAGACACGGCCCAGACUCCUACGGGAGGCAGCAGUGGGGAAUUUUCCGCAAUGGGCGAAAGCCUGACGGAGCAAUACCGCGUGAGGGAGGAAGGCUCUUGGGUUGUAAACCUCUUUUCUCAGGGAAGAAUAAUGACGGUACCUGAGGAAUAAGCAUCGGCUAACUCCGUGCCAGCAGCCGCGGUAAUACGGAGGAUGCAAGCGUUAUCCGGAAUGAUUGGGCGUAAAGCGUCCGCAGGUGGCAAUGUAAGUCUGCUGUCAAAGCGUCUGGCUCAACCAGAUAAAGGCAGUGGAAACUACAUAGCUAGAGUAAGGUAGGGGUAGAGGGAAUUCCUGGUGUAGCGGUGAAAUGCGUAGAGAUCAGGAAGAACACCGGUGGCGAAAGCGCUCUGCUGGACCUAAACUGACACUGAGGGA